CCGACGACCGCGGUCUUGAAACACGACUCGUAGGGGUGGACAUUCGGAUAAGCGGGUCGGAUUCGGAUAAAACCCUAUCGAGUACAGGUUCUUCAGGUAGAAAAGUUUAGGAUCCAAUAGGGUAAAUCUAAAAUAUCGGUUCGGUGUCGGUUCGGGUCUAAUCGGGUUCCGGUCGGUUCGAAUAUAGAGUUUUGGGCUCUUUUUUGGAACCGAUACCAAAUUUUCGGAUGUAUAUCCAGAUUUUUCGGGUAAAUACCCAAAUUUUCUGGUAAAAUUUCGGGUUUUAGGUAAAAUUUAGAUUUUCGAAUAAAAUAUCCGGGUAUUUUCGGGUUCGGUUUCGGUUUUUUGGGUAGAGGAAUUUUGGACCCAAUAGGGUAAAUCUUCGAGUUCGAGUUCGGUUUCUGGUCCAAUUUUUCGGGUCGCUUCCGGUUCGGGUAAUCGGUUCCGGUUUUCUUGCCCACCCCUAGUAGGUUGUAUGAUUGUUACACUUCAUUAGAAAUAUA
RNAcentral lists this small RNA (503 nucleotides) under Arabidopsis thaliana (thale cress). RNAcentral describes it as "ATSL152220". Lineage: Eukaryota; Viridiplantae; Streptophyta; Magnoliopsida; Brassicales; Brassicaceae. The record is from RNAcentral.